UGACUGGAUUGUUUUCUUAGC
Molecule: non-coding RNA, 21 nt
Filed under: Arabidopsis thaliana (thale cress)
Lineage: Eukaryota; Viridiplantae; Streptophyta; Magnoliopsida; Brassicales; Brassicaceae
Source: RNAcentral